RNAcentral lists this unclassified non-coding RNA (424 nucleotides) under plant metagenome. RNAcentral describes it as "partial contains 5.8S ribosomal RNA, internal transcribed spacer 2, and large subunit ribosomal RNA". It matches the Rfam family "Bacterial small subunit ribosomal RNA", at positions 358 to 777 of the family's 1533-position model. The record is from RNAcentral.
AGGAUCUUCGGCAAUGGGCGCAAGCCUGACCGAGCGACGCCGCGUGUGGGAUGAAGGCCUUCGGGUUGUAAACCACUGUCAGAGCGGAGGAAAUACAUUGGGGUUCUCCCCAGUGCUUGACCUAUGCUCAGAGGAAGUACGGGCUAAGUUCGUGCCAGCAGCCGCGGUAAGACGAACCGUACGAACGUUAUUCGGAAUCACUGGGCUUAAAGGGUGCGUAGGCUGUGCGGAAAGUUGGGUGUGAAAUACCUCAGCUUAACUGAGGAACUGCAUUCAAAACUACCGUGCUUGAGGGAGACAGAGGUGAGCGGAACUUAGGGUGGAGCGGUGAAAUGCGUUGAUAUCCUAAGGAACACCGGUGGCGAAAGCGGCUCACUGGGUCUCUUCUGACGCUGAGGCACGAAAGCUAGGGUAGCGAACGGGA